AUACGUAGGGAGCGAGCGUUGUCCGGAAUUACUGGGUGUAAAGGGUGCGUAGGCGGGACUGCAAGUCAGAUGUGAAAUGCCGGGGCUCAACCCCGGAGCUGCAUUUGAAACUGUGGUUCUUGAGUGAGGUAGAGGUAAGCGGAAUUCCUAGUGUAGCGGUGAAAUGCGUGGAUAUUAGGAGGAACAUCGGUGGCGAAGGCGGCUUUCUGGGCCUAUGCUGACGCUGAGGCACGAAAGCGUGGGGAGCAAACAGGAUUAGAUACCCUGGUAGUCCACGCUGUAAACGAGGAUGACUAGGUGUGGGGGGACUGACCCCUUCCGUGCCGCAGUUAACACAAUAAGUCAUCCACCUGGGGAGUACGGCCGCAAGGUUGAAACUCAAAUGAAUUGACGGGG
This 396-nucleotide ribosomal RNA is filed under the name uncultured bacterium. Its description in RNAcentral is "partial 16S ribosomal RNA". It matches the Rfam family "Bacterial small subunit ribosomal RNA", at positions 523 to 918 of the family's 1533-position model. The record is from RNAcentral.